GACGAACGCUGGCGGCGUGCUUAACACAUGCAAGUCGAACGAAGAGCGAUGGAAGCUUGCUUCUGUCCGUCUUAGUGGCGAACGGGUGAGAAACGCGUAAUCAACCUGCCCUUCAGAGGGGGACAACAGUUGGAAACGACUGCUAAUACCGCAUACGAUCUAAACUCGGCAUCGAGGAUAGAUGAAAGGUGGCCUCUACAUGUAAGCUAUCACUGAAGGAUGUGAUUGCGUCUGAUUAGCUAGUUGGAGGGGUAACGGCCCACCAAGGCGAUGAUCAGUAGCCGGUCUGAGAGGAUGAACGGCCACAUUGGGACUGAGACCCGGCCCAGUCGCCUACGGGAGGCGGCAGGGGGGAAUCUUGCGCCAUGGACGAAAGACUGACGGAGCAACGCCGCGGGAGUGAUGACGGCCUUCGGGUUGGAAAGCUCUGUUUAUCGGGACGAAAGGCCUUCUUGCGAAUAGUGAGAAGGAUUGACGGUACCGGAAAAGAAAGCCACGGCUAACUACGUG
Molecule: ribosomal RNA, 510 nt
Filed under: uncultured bacterium
Lineage: Bacteria
Description: partial 16S ribosomal RNA
Rfam family: Bacterial small subunit ribosomal RNA
Source: RNAcentral